RNAcentral lists this ribosomal RNA (392 nucleotides) under uncultured marine eukaryote. RNAcentral's name for it is "SSU rRNA". It matches the Rfam family "Eukaryotic small subunit ribosomal RNA", at positions 613 to 1005 of the family's 1831-position model. The record is from RNAcentral.
UUGCAGUUAAAAAGCUCGUAGUUGGAUUUCUGGUAGGAGCGGCCGGUCCGCCCCGUAAUGGGGUGUGCACUAGAGCCGCCUCCGGCCAUCCUUGGGGGAACUGCCAUGGCCUUAAUUGGUUGUGGUAUGGAACCCAUCGUUUACUGUGAAAAAAUUAGAGUGUUUAAAGCAGGCUUAGGCCGUUGAAUACAUUAGCAUGGAAUAAUAAGAUAGGACCUUAUGGACCUCUUGUUGGUUUGCGCCGUAAGGUAAUGAUUAAUAGGGAUAGUUGGGGGUAUUCGUAUUCAAUUGUCAGAGGUGAAAUUCUUGGAUUUAUGAAAGACGAACUUCUGCGAAAGCAUUUACCAAGGAUGUUUUCAUUAAUCAAGAACGAAAGUUAGGGGAUCGAAGAU